Non-coding RNA from Aegilops tauschii subsp. strangulata, 1635 nucleotides. Lineage: Eukaryota; Viridiplantae; Streptophyta; Magnoliopsida; Poales; Poaceae. The record is from RefSeq and is a predicted model, not a curated record.
UUUUCAUUAUCCUGUUUUGUGGUGGCCGGCCAUGGAGUGGCCGGCCAUGGAGUGGCCGGCGGCGAGUGCUUGCAGUGCAGAUGCGCGGAUUUGUGCGGCGGCGGCUGUAGCACCAAGAGGGAGUGCAGAUAGGCCGCAAGCAUCUGAACACUCGAUAGCAAGUUGAUCCACAGAUUCCCUGAUGGAUGAGAAGACUGUACGAUCUCCGCAGAUUGCUGCUUCUUUGUUCUGCCAGUGGAGGUUGAGUGUAUCAUUGCAAGUUCCUUAUACCGGCAGUGUAUCAUUGCAAGUUCCUUACACCAGCAAACUCCGUGAUUUUUGUAUUUUUGUCGAUGCAAGCCUGUUCUUCGACUAUAAAAUAGCAGAGAUUUCUUUUCUUGUCAAGUCUAAUCCUUUUUUGAUGCAUUGCAGCUUUGCUAUCAAACUCUCAGAAAGGAAAAACAACUUUAUUCUAAUUUGGCAAAGCUUGGAGGAUAUUUUUACAGGUUCAAAUCUUGCUUUAUUGCUUUAUAACCUUUCGUUCUUCAAGACAAUAUUUUCCUAGCAGUGCUCAAUAACUUUAAAUCCAUCUUUUUGUUCUUUGCAUUAUCACAAAACGGUGUUGUUCUAUCUUUUUGUUUUUGAUUGAUCAUCAGCAACGACAAUGCAACCUACAAGUAACUAUUAUCUUUUUCCAGUCCUAGCUAUGUGCAUAUUCUAUUAAUUGGUGACUUAUCCAUGCAUAGUUAAUACACUCGGCUAUAGUUUUAUAUCAUGUUUCCUUCAGGUUUGUAUAUAGGAUGUUCCUUUUAUUUUGUAGAUGUAUGCAAGAUAUUCUUCUCAUUUUGUAGAUGUAUGCAAGGUUUUUCUUUGCAAGGUCAAGCGAUGUCAUUUCCAAGAGGUUAUGAACUCCAGUGAAGUAUGCUCGAGAAAGGAUAGGACGCCGGUGGCUUAGCUCUCUUUCUAUUUGAUGGAGGAGUUUGGAGGAUCUGCAGUCAAGCCUUGCUGCCCCUUUUUCUCUUAUAUAUUUAUUUGAUUUUAUUUGGGAAUAGAAUCACUAGCAAUAUGUAUUUUUAGAUUUAGAUCUUUAGAAAGAGUAUUGGAUGUCUGAGACAUGUCCUACUUUUAGUACUGAGCUUACCAUCAGAGGUUCAGAACGACAGCCUGAUGAGAACAUUCUUAUCUAACUGAAGAUGGCUUGCUUCCCUUUUAUGGUAGAUGCUUCGGAAUACUAAUUAUACCUGACAGAAAAUGUGAUUUUUCAGCAUGAAGAUAAGAGGAUGGGAAGAUAUGAUCUUCAUGGGGCUUAGUGGUACUAUCAUAUUAUGAUAACCGCUGCAAAGUUCAUAUAAUGAUCCCUGUUUCAGACUGGGAUCAAAGGAACAAGCUGAUCAAUAGGUUUCAGCCAUGGAAUACUGCGUCAAGAAGAACGAUUGGGUUGAGCUCAUCGCGAUGCUUUGACAGGAGACUCCGUCAGCUUUCGGACAAAGUCGUUUGGGUCUAAAAAGUUUAAUUUAUCAUGGUUGCCGUCAGUGGAAUCUAUGAGGAAUGUAUUACAGAGGAAUUGACUACAGAUUAAUGGGCAUGUGGGUGGGAGCUGUAUUUCGACAUUAGAAGUGUUUAUGCUAGGAGAUGAGUCCAUGAAAUCAGUGAAAC